UCUGUGAAGCUUCGAUAUUAUAAACUCGUCGUAAUGUUUGUAAUGUUCCCAGGUGGGACUAUCCCAGCGUCGUCGAAGGCUUGAGAGACCGGGCGUGAACUUGGGCCGUCGUCCAAAGAUUCUUCCCUGACCUCGCCUCCUCCCGCCCCCUUCCGGCGAUGUGCAGCUCGACGGCGACCACUCCCCUUUGCCUGAGGCGGUGACUCCCCUCCUUCCUCUCCCUGGGUCCUCCACGAGCUAGGCUUUACAGGACCGGUGGCCUCUAACCCUGCCUCCACUCCGCUUCUCUGUCUCGGUGGAUCUUGAUUUCCGGACGAACACACACCCAGGGCAGAAACAUCUGCUAGAAUAGAACCAACAGCCAAGAACCAGCGGCGGCGGCAAGAAGAGGUCUCCGCUCCUAGGUUUCGCACUUCCGCAAGCUGCAGAGCUGUCGGUUCUCUGAUCUCUCUGAGUAGUGAAUGCCACUCAAACAUCAUGCACCUGAACCAAGGGCUUCAUUGCGUGCAUUGGCAGUUAACACCAGGAUCCAAGGGUCGGAGAAGUAGCACACAAACCAUCCACUGCCAAUAGAACAAGGUCCAGACGGCAGUACCUUUUAUCAGACUUGAACCAGCAAGGAAUGCAUAACCAGGAUGCCAAUUUCUUGUGGCCAAUUGCAUCACAUGGAGCUGCAACCCACGUUUGUGAAGUCGUUGAGUCCAAGAUGCACCAGAUUUCAGAAAUGAAUUGAUUCUCUGUUUGCAAGUCACCACCAGUCAAUAAUUGGACCCUUAAAACUUAAAGAUAAAUAUAUCUUCGAUCAUCCCCAGCUUGUACAUCUCUGAGAUGACAGCAGAUCCUUCUUCACCAGUACUGAUGAUUUCUACAUUUCUACUUUCAUAGUCAUGGACCAAGACCUCAAACUUUAAAUGGUUAAUGCUAGAAUCAUCAGCACUACUAGCAGGAGUGUAACCAACAGGAAAUCCAGUCCACUGUACUGUGACACCAUUCUGCUCAGCGAAACGCAUGAUCGGCACAUUGUUCAGUAUCAUGUUAACCUGGUAAAGAUCAUGGGCAUGCAGUUUUA
Long non-coding RNA from Hordeum vulgare subsp. vulgare (domesticated barley), 1069 nucleotides. RefSeq lists it as uncharacterized. Lineage: Eukaryota; Viridiplantae; Streptophyta; Magnoliopsida; Poales; Poaceae. The transcript has 2 exons. The record is from RefSeq and is a predicted model, not a curated record.